UACAGAGGUCUCAAGCGUUGUUCGGAUUCAUUGGGCGUAAAGGGUGCGUAGGCGGCGCGGUAAGUCGGGUGUGAAAUCUUGGAGCUUAACUCCGGAACUGCAUUCGAUACUGCCGUGCUUGAGGACUGGAGAGGAGACUGGAAUUUACGGUGUAGCGGUGAAAUGCGUAGAUAUCGUAAGGAAGACCAGUGGCGAAGGCGGGUCUCUGGGCCGUAACUGACGCUGAGGAGCGAAAGCAUGGGGAGCGAACAGG
RNAcentral lists this ribosomal RNA (253 nucleotides) under uncultured bacterium. RNAcentral's name for it is "partial 16S ribosomal RNA". It matches the Rfam family "Bacterial small subunit ribosomal RNA", at positions 524 to 776 of the family's 1533-position model. The record is from RNAcentral.